This 496-nucleotide ribosomal RNA is filed under the name uncultured bacterium. Its description in RNAcentral is "partial 16S ribosomal RNA". It matches the Rfam family "Bacterial small subunit ribosomal RNA", at positions 28 to 506 of the family's 1533-position model. The record is from RNAcentral.
GAUGAACGCUGGCGGUGUGCCUAAUACAUGCAAGUCGAGCGAACGGACGAGAAGCUUGCUUCUCUGAUGUUAGCGGCGGACGGGUGAGUAACACGUGGAUAACCUACCUAUAAGACUGGGAUAACUUCGGGAAACCGGAGCUAAUACCGGAUAAUAUUUUGAACCGCAUGGUUCAAAAGUGAAAGACGGUCUUGCUGUCACUUAUAGAUGGAUCCGCUCUGCAUUAGCUAGUUGGUAAGGUAACGGCUUACCAAGGCAACGUUGCAUAGCCGACCUGAGAGGGUGAUCGGCCACACUGGAACUGAGACACGGUCCAGACCCCUACGGGAGGCAGCAGUAGGGAAUCUUCCGCAAUGGGCGAAAGCCUGACGGAGCAACGCCGCGUGAGUGAUGAAGGUCUUCGGAUCGUAAAACUCUGUUAUUAGGGAAGAACAUAUGUGUAAGUAACUGUGCACAUCUUGACGGUACCUAAUCAGAAAGCCACGGCUAACUACGU